UAGGCAAAUUACAUGUCAUGCUUUUUAAAAUUGAUCUCAUCCUGUCAGUCACUGUCAGAGAAGCUCUCGCUGGAUCAUUUUCAACACCAACAUGUUCUCUAUAUCUGUGCUGCUGCUGCUGGCUGCUGGAUCCUAUGUGAAGUGUGAACAGCUGACACAGCCAGCCUCUGUGACUGUGCAGCCAGGUCAACAUCUGACCAUCAGCUGUCAGGUCUCUUAUUAUGUGAGCAGCUACCAGACACAUUGGAUCAGACAGCCUGCAGGAAAAGGCCUGGAGUGGAUUGGUUACAUGUGCACUGGAUGCACAGGAGCUCGCAAAGAUUCUUUAAAGAGCAAGUUCAGUAUUACAGUAGAAGAGUCCAGUAAAACCGUGACUCUGAAUGGACAGAAUCUGCAGCCUGAAGACUCUGCUGUGUAUUACUGUGCCAGAUACGACCACAGUGACACAAAUAAGCAGGAGGGCUGUACAAAAACCUCUCAGGACCUGAACACAUAACUACCAGGGGAGGAGCUGUAAAACCACUAAUGACUCCAUUGCAAAUUCUC
This is a non-coding RNA of Xiphophorus couchianus (Monterrey platyfish), 546 nucleotides long. The record is from the annotation of a RefSeq genome assembly. NCBI's taxonomy places the organism in Eukaryota, Metazoa, Chordata, Actinopteri, Cyprinodontiformes, Poeciliidae.